RNAcentral lists this ribosomal RNA (460 nucleotides) under uncultured bacterium. Its description in RNAcentral is "SSU rRNA". It matches the Rfam family "Bacterial small subunit ribosomal RNA", at positions 26 to 518 of the family's 1533-position model. The record is from RNAcentral.
AGAAUCAACGCUGGCGGCGUGCCUAACACAUGCAAGUCGCACGAGAAAGGGACUUCGGUCCUGAGUAAAGUGGCGCACGGGUGAGUAACACGUGAAUAAUCUACCUCCGAGUGGGGAAUAACUGAGAGAAAUCUUAGCUAAUACCGCAUAACACUUACGAGUCAAAGCAGCAAUGCGCUUGGAGAGGAGUUCGCGGCAGAUUAGUUAGUUGGCGGGGUAAUGGCCCACCAAGACGAUGAUCUGUAUCCGGCCUGAGAGGGCGCACGGACACACUGGAACUGAAACACGGUCCAGACUCCUACGGGAGGCAGCAGUGGGGAAUUUUGCGCAAUGGGGGAAACCCUGACGCAGCAACGCCGCGUGGAGGAUGAAAUCCCUUGGGAUGUAAACUCCUUUCGAUAGGAACGAUUGUGACGGUACCUGUAGAAGAAGCACCGGCCAACUAUGUGCCAGCAGCCGC